This 227-nucleotide long non-coding RNA is filed under the name Elaeis guineensis (African oil palm). RNAcentral describes it as "long non-coding RNA (EGUI_LNC064187)". The record is from RNAcentral. Lineage: Eukaryota; Viridiplantae; Streptophyta; Magnoliopsida; Arecales; Arecaceae.
UAUAGCUCAACUGGGAGAAGAGAAAAUCGUAAGGGUAGCAUUGAGCAAUCUCGAUAUACCUACUCUAGACGUAUCUUUAUUUCUUUAGACUCUCCAGGUAUUUAUCUCUGAACUCUUUCAAGGUUUCUUUGUUUUCAACACUUUGAUCAAUUCUGAUAAGGUGCCAUGAUGGUCUUUCAUAUGAUAGUUUAUCAUAAACUAUCCAUAUAAACUAAUCGAGGAUCGCA